GCCCGCGUCGCGAUAGUAAU
This 20-nucleotide small nuclear RNA is filed under the name Arabidopsis thaliana (thale cress). RNAcentral's name for it is "snRNA_05645". The record is from RNAcentral. Lineage: Eukaryota; Viridiplantae; Streptophyta; Magnoliopsida; Brassicales; Brassicaceae.